Oncorhynchus keta (chum salmon) is the source of this 1724-nucleotide long non-coding RNA. RefSeq lists it as uncharacterized. The record is from RefSeq and is a predicted model, not a curated record. Lineage: Eukaryota; Metazoa; Chordata; Actinopteri; Salmoniformes; Salmonidae. The transcript is spliced from 3 exons.
GUGAAGAUCAGGAAUCUGCAACGUUUGGGUAUUUUUACCAACUAUCUUUACUGCAAUAUACAUAGUUAAAAAACAUAUUAAAAAAAUAAUAAUCUUUCCUUGAAAUCUACAGGAACUGCUGUUUCACCCUAGGUCUCUGUGUAGAGAGUAGGGAGCUGUUUCACCCUAGGUCUCUGUGUAGGGAGUAGGGAGCUGUUUCACCCUAGGUCUCUGUGUAGGGAGCUGUUUCACCCUAGGUCUCUGUGUAGGGAGUAGGGAGCUGUUUCACCCUAGGUCUCUGUGUAGGGAGUAGGGAGCCGUUUCACCCUAGGUCUCUGUGUAGAGAGUAGGGUGCCGUUUCACCCUAGGUCUCUGUGUAGGGAGUAGGGUGCCGUUUCACCCUAGGUCUCUGUGUAGAGAGUAGGGUGCCGUUUCACCCUAGGUCUCUGUGUAGGGAGUAGGGUGCCGUUUCACCCUAGGUCUCUGUGUAGAGAGCUGUUUCACCCUAGGUCUCUGAGUAGGGAGUAGGGAGCUGUUUCACCCUAGGUCUCUGUGUAGGGAGUAGGGAGCUGUUUCACCCUAGGUCUCUGUGUAGGGAGUAGGGUGCCGUUUCACCCUAGAUCUCUGUGUAGAGAGCCGUUUCACCCUAGGUCUCUGUGUAGGGAGUAGGGUGCCGUUUCACCCUAGGUCUCUGUGUAGAGAGCCGUUUCACCCUAGGUCUCUGUGUAGGGAGUAGGGUGCCGUUUCACCCUAGGUCUCUGUGUAGAGAGCUGUUUCACCCUAGGUCUCUGUGUAGGGAGUAGGGUGCCGUUUCACCCUAGGUCUCUGUGUAGGGAGUAGGGUGCUGUUUCACCCUAGGUCUCUGUGUAGGGAGUAGGGUGCUGUUUCACCCUAGGUCUCUGUGUAGAGAGUAGGGUGCCGUUUCACCCUAGGUCUCGGUGUAGGGAGUAGGGAGCUGUUUCACCCUAGGUCUCUGUGUAGGGAGCUGUUUCACCCUAGGUCUCUGUGUAGGGAAUAGUGAGCUGUUUCACCCUAGGUCUCUGUGUAGGAAUAGUGAGCUGUUUCACCCUAGGUCUCUGUGUAGGGAGUAGGGAGCUGUUUCACCCUAGGUCUCUGUGUAGGGACUAGGGAGCUGUUUCACCCUAGGUCUCUGUGUAGAGAGUAGGGUGCCGUUUCACCCUAGGUCUCUGUGUAGAGAGUAGGGAGCUGUUUCACCCUAGGUCUCUGUGUAGAGAGUAGGGAGCUGUUUCACCCUAGGUCUCUGUGUAGGGAGUAGGGAGCUGUUUCACCCUAGGUCUCUGUGUAGAGAGUAGGGAGCUGUUUCACCCUAGGUCUCUGUUGAGGAAAACGUCAUUUGAAUCAUCAGUACGGUAAGGGGAUCUUGUUAUAGUGAAACAGACGGAAACGGCCUGGACAAAAAUAAAGAAAACAAACAAAAUAACAUUUGCAAAAAGAUGCAAAUUAAGUUUUUUGAAAUAAAUGAUAGUCUGGCUAAGCCAAACAUUCUAUGUCAUAAUGUGGCACAAUUAUUUCCUCUUUUUCAUGAAUUCUAAAACUUUGUAUGUUUUAUUGUCAACAGCAAUGAGUAUUACUGUAAUUAUUAUUAUUAUGAUUAUUGUCAUGGCUAUUACUAAUAUUAGUGGCAGGCCACUGGGUAACAUUGUAUGUUGAUAUCCAAAUGAAAUCUGUGCAAGAUAAUGAUGAAAUGUUUAUGAGUUUUAAAAACAAAUAAAAAGAUAAGACUA